UGGAGUUAUGUUGAUAAACAGAACAAGGAUGAGCUAAUGGAUCAUGUCCAAGCUGAUUUUGUAUUAGAUUGGACCAAAAGCAACCUUCAAGAGACAGUGGCAAUGGCAAUUGCUCAAAAAUAUAAUGAUUUUCACUACCUACUGCACAG
Long non-coding RNA from Juglans microcarpa x Juglans regia, 149 nucleotides. RefSeq lists it as uncharacterized. Lineage: Eukaryota; Viridiplantae; Streptophyta; Magnoliopsida; Fagales; Juglandaceae. The transcript is spliced from 2 exons. The record is from RefSeq and is a predicted model, not a curated record.